RNAcentral lists this ribosomal RNA (522 nucleotides) under uncultured bacterium. RNAcentral describes it as "bacterial SSU rRNA". It matches the Rfam family "Bacterial small subunit ribosomal RNA", at positions 777 to 1297 of the family's 1533-position model. The record is from RNAcentral.
AAUAGAUACCCGGGUAGUCCACGCCGUAAACGAUGAGUGCUAAGUGUUAGAGGGUUUCCGCCCUUUAGUGCUGCAGCUAACGCAUUAAGCACUCCGCCUGGGGAGUACGGCCGCAAGGCUGAAACUCAAAGGAAUUGACGGGGGCCCGCACAAGCGGUGGAGCAUGUGGUUUAAUUCGAAGCAACGCGAAGAACCUUACCAGGUCUUGACAUCCUCUGCCGACCCUAGAGAUAGGGCGUUCCCCUUCGGGGGACAGAGUGACAGGUGGUGCAUGGUUGUCGUCAGCUCGUGUCGUGAGAUGUUGGGUUAAGUCCCGCAACGAGCGCAACCCUUGAUCUUAGUUGCCAGCAUUCAGUUGGGCACUCUAAGGUGACUGCCGGUGACAAACCGGAGGAAGGUGGGGAUGACGUCAAAUCAUCAUGCCCCUUAUGACCUGGGCUACACACGUGCUACAAUGGAUGGUACAAAGAGCAGCGAACCCGCGAGGGUAAGCCAAUCUCAUAAAGCCAUUCUCAGUUCGGA